GUGGGAGGGGGGGAGUCAGGACGGAGACCAGAACAUCACCGGUCCACAGGCUCAGCCAGAGAGACGGACCCUUCAUGAACACACCUGAGUUUCCCUCCCACCAUCUUCAGAUCUAAAAACACUGGUGUCAACAUUAAUGACACCGAAGCCCCGGACAACAGGAAGUAGAACGUUUUAUUUUGAAAAGUCCAUACGUCCAUAUUUGACCCAAUCAACAGAAAGCAAGUUGGUGUAACUUGGUGUCCAUUACUACCAAAUGUUUGGCUCUAAUUUAACUUAUAGACGCCUGAAUGUUGUUGUUUACAUCGGGAAACAAUGUAAACAACGCUGGAGGGCAAACAGAUCGUCCUUUUACUCGCCAUCCACAGCGGCAGUAGAACAGAACCGCUAUGAUCCUGGAGAUGAAGGUUUUAUUGGUUUAGUGCAGCGUGUCACAGCAAAGGGAAAAAUAAUGCAGGAAGAAUAACUCAAAGCCACUUUUUUCUCCCUCUCUGUGUCACACAGGCAGGCUCGUUGCCAUGGCAACUGGCAACAACACCGUUAUAUGUUGCACGGAUCAACACCAAAAAAAAAAACAAAAAAAACACUCAAACAUUUCAAACACAAAGAACAGAACAUUCAGUCUGUUACAGUUUUGUUUAACAAGCCGUCUCUGUGGUAGCGUAGCUACUGCUGCUAUUAGCUAGAUUAUGUGAUUUCCUUAUUUUCGUAACUGAGUCAAAUUUCACAGCACAUCUACAUGCCAAGAUCGUCAAAGUCAGGUUAGCAUAACUGAACUACUUCUCUCUCUCUUUUUUCCAAAACCUUUUUCCUGACCUUGUUUUCUCGCGGUCGUAGCAAAGCUCUGUUUUCAUUUUUUAUUUAUAUGUCUGGUGUACAUUUAAGAUUUAGCGCGUCAUAUUGACAACUUAGCAGCUAAACCCAAUGCUAGUCAUCGUCCGCUAGCAGCUUUUUGACCUGGUGUGACGUCACAAUGCAACAGGUCAGUGAACUCCGAUCUGACCGGAAUUUGAUCCAAGUUGUUCACUUCUGUUAAUAAUUGCACUAAACAAUAUUAUUCUUGUUAUUCAUAGCCAAACACAACACAGAGGCCGUAACAAUCAUCUUGUCUAAAAUUUCUGGUUUUCUCCAAUAACCCUCCUCUACUCUCUUUAAACUGCUGCUGAGGAUGUUUGGGACUCACCGAGGCGCAUUCAGGGUCAUUAAAUCAAUGUAAAGUCAGAUUCUGCGGUGCAGACUCGCUCUUCAUUCCAACUCUCAGGAGUGAUCCUCAGAAUAGCUCAACACAGAAACAAGUUGAGGGAAAGUUGGCCUCUAAAUGCCACAGCAGCCAUUAGGCAGGCCGAGCUACAUCCACAACCUGGCGCAUAGCAACGAGCUCUCUGUGUGCGUUUGUUAACAUUCCUGCUGGUUUGGUACCUGCUUCCUGCUUCAACCUUCAGCCUGAACCUCAUGAAUAUCGAUGGGGGCCUGUGGUUGAGCAGGGAACGUAUACUCACGAGGUUCAGACAUCUUCAGAGAGGGGGAGAGGUUUUCAUUCUACAGAUCCACACAAACACUUGACUCAAAUGUUCAGGGACACGCCGACACUCUGACGUCCACCGAAAGUUAAUCUGUCGGAGAUAAGACGCUCCAAGUCUCCGAGCAGCAGAGAAACCCCUCGAUUCCAACCCAUCACAUUUCCAUAAUCUGCCUCGUAUCGUCGCCAGGACCCAUCAUGCACCUGGGCUCCGACGCAUUUCCAUAAUCCAUCCGGUCUGCAGAGAGACUUCUGGUUCAAAACGAUCCAAAACGCUGACAAGAUUUUACAUGAAAGAACCAGGAGAGAGACAGAGAGAGCGAGAUGUGGCGGUAACCAUGGCAACGUCAGUCGACCGUUUAUCUGUUUUCUUUCCUGUACUCGUCCCCUCAGCGUUUUCCAUUUUUAUCAAACUCCAUCCAUCAUCUAUCUGUCCAUAUUAGCAUUCACACUCUCCUCAAACUGAACGUGAGAUAAGAGACGGACAUGUUGACGCUUCAAAACUACAUGAACCGGUUUGAACCGGAGACAGGAGGACGACAGCGUCAACCAAACUCUGGGAAGUCAUCAGGACGAGCGUCACGGUCUGGGUUUGUGUUCCUUAAUCUGAGAACUGACAUGUUCCUUGGUACUUUCCAGAAGUUCCAGAAUACUUUCCCAGAGCUAUCAGGUUACUUUCUAGAAUAUACAAGGCACGGACUAGUACCGUCUUAGAGCUUGAAAAGCUAAUUAAAAAACUUACUGGUUAUUUUUUGUACUUUCUAGAACUUUUGAGAAUAAUCAGGUUAUUUCUACGAUGUACGACGUGUGUUGUGGUACUUUCCCAGAGCUUACAAGGUUAAUUUCAGAACUUACAAGUUGCAUUUUAAAAUAAUUUUCACAAUUUAAAGGAUACUUUUCCAGAACUAUCAGGUUACUUUCUAGAAUAUAAAAGGUACGUUCUGGUACUUUCUGUUUAAGAACUUCCAUGUUUUGGUACUUUCCAGAACUUACAGGGUACUUUCCCCAGAACCAUCAGUUCACUUCCUAGAUGGUUAAUUAAAAAACUUACCAGUUAUGUUUUCGUACUUGCCAGAACUUCCCAGAACUAUUGGGUUACUUUCUAGAAUGUAGAAUGUUAUUUUCUUACGACAGCAAAUUAGAGCCACAGUAAAAAAAACAAAA
Molecule: long non-coding RNA, 2683 nt
Organism: Poecilia reticulata (guppy)
Lineage: Eukaryota; Metazoa; Chordata; Actinopteri; Cyprinodontiformes; Poeciliidae
Source: RefSeq, a predicted model, not a curated record